GAGAAAAGUCUCCAAGGGAGAAGAGUGUGAACUCUGCCUCAGCGUGGCAGGUUGAGAAGUUGUCAGGGAGCACCUUGGAGCCCAGUAGAGGCCCUGACUGGUGCACCUCUGAAAAGACUGCGGGCACAGUGCUGCACCUCCCCAGGGCUCCCUCAGCAGAGGCAGGUGUGCUCUGUCCCCAUCAUGGCCCUGUGUGCUUCUCCACAGACAAAGACCCCUACAGUUUUGGAAGGACAACCAUAGCAAACCUGGAGACCCACAAUGACCUGCUCUGGCUGCAUGCUGUCUUUGCUGUCAUCUACCUCUCCCUCACUGUGGGCUUCA
This is a long non-coding RNA of Fukomys damarensis (Damara mole-rat), 324 nucleotides long. RefSeq lists it as uncharacterized. Lineage: Eukaryota; Metazoa; Chordata; Mammalia; Rodentia; Bathyergidae. The transcript has 2 exons. The record is from RefSeq and is a predicted model, not a curated record.